CGGACAGGGGGGUUCCUGCCCCUGGGCAGGGCCUGUCCGAACCGGCUGCGCAGACGCGCGGCCAGUGGUUGUCGCUCGGGGGUGAUCGCCG
This is a non-coding RNA of Streptomyces pratensis ATCC 33331, 91 nucleotides long. The record is from Rfam. Lineage: Bacteria; Bacillati; Actinomycetota; Actinomycetes; Kitasatosporales; Streptomycetaceae.